This 1009-nucleotide long non-coding RNA is filed under the name Mus spicilegus (steppe mouse). RNAcentral's name for it is "lncRNA (ENSMSIG00000011264.1)". The record is from RNAcentral. Lineage: Eukaryota; Metazoa; Chordata; Mammalia; Rodentia; Muridae.
CUGUGGGGAGGUGGGGAGGGACGGAGGGCUACUGACCACAGUCUGGCUCUGGAUGCUAGAACCUGCGGUCCUAGGGUGUGCGAGGCACCCGUUGGGGGCGCUCGCUGUGUGGCUCUGAGCUGGUUUGCACACCUCUCUGAGUCUCAAUGGCCACUAGCAAAAUGGUAGCGCUUGGUGCGGGGCUGUAAGCCAGCGCUAGGACUCUGGCUUCCUCACUAGGCUGCCGGAUAACUUUGGUAGACUAGUCAUAAUAAUAGUACAACCUCCUGGGUUAUUAGGAAGAUUAAACGAGUUAGUAUUUGGAUGGUGUUUACAACCGCGUGUGUUAUGUGUAAAGUGGCAUUAAGUUCAUUAGAGAGACCACGGGAGGUCUGGCUCCGAAGCUGAAUUCUCUCUCCUUGCUCCCUGUUCCUGUGCCCAAGGCCAAGCUCCUCUUUUGCUCCUAGACACCAUGCCCACCACUUCUCUAAGCUGUAAAACCACCACCUCCCUCCAUUUCUGACUUUAUGGUGACACCUAAGUGUGAAGACCAGAGAGGCUGGGUGUCUAAAUGGUUAAGGACAUAGAACACCUUGGCAUUGAACCAGCUCACCUAUAAACCGCCUCUAGCUGGUCCUGGGCAAGCUCCCAGCCAAUGAGCAGCGGGUUUCUCCUGGAUAAAAUGAGAUUUGUUAUCAAACCCUGGGCUAUGAGAAUUCAGGUGAGCUCCUGGAGUGGUGAGUAGGACAGUCAAUAGCCUCUGUGGUCCCUCCAGUCCAUGUCCCAUCUAGGUUCACCUGAAGGAGGGAUCUGGGAGAAAUGACUUUCUGUUAGAGACAGGAAGCUGAGCUGUGUGCCAGGUGCUGGCCUAGGAGGGCACCCUAAUUGAGCAUGGAUCCCUGAAAAGUAAAGCAUGUGGAACUGGCCGAUGGAAUUUUCCAGGAUCCUGGGGCUCGAUGUGACUUCUGUGGUCCUUAGAUGUUUGGCGGAGAUUACGAGGGCAGCAACAUCCUGACUGUCAGAAGAUCAC